Dreissena polymorpha is the source of this 438-nucleotide long non-coding RNA. RefSeq lists it as uncharacterized. The transcript is spliced from 4 exons. NCBI's taxonomy places the organism in Eukaryota, Metazoa, Mollusca, Bivalvia, Myida, Dreissenidae. The record is from RefSeq and is a predicted model, not a curated record.
AUUUAUUAAUAAUGUGGAGACGCGUGAAUCACUGCUGUUUAUUCAGGAAUUUAUUUGUUUGUUGUAUUAUUGAAUCAACUCUCAAGUUUAUGAAGCUAUCUGUAGAAGUUUAAACACAGUGUUGGCAGGGAAACUUGUGGAAGGCCUUAUUUGUGUCAGAAGAUCGUCGAAAAACAAGGGGUAUCAGAAACUUCAAUCAAUCAUGCAGAACGCGGAUCAUUUAUAAAAAGUGUUUAACUGGAAAUCGAGAGAUCUACUGCGCGCAGAUUGCGUGCGUUCCCAGCGUCAAAUGUACCUUCGACGAGACCGACUGUUGCUUUGACUUCGCUGACACCUCGAUAAGGGGGGUGGGGGCAGUUCCGUAGAUGACCAGGGGCCGUCCUGAGAAUACAGCUAUCUGAAGAAGACUGAACGCUGUAUUUGCAGGGAAACUAUAGG